UGUACACAUACGUAUAUACAUAUAUUACGCUUGUUUUUGUAAAAAUACAGAGUUAAAUACGUGUUUAAAAGUAUUUAUUAAGAAGUUGAAACAUAAGAUAAAACCAUAUCUAAACAAAUUAAUUCCACCUUUGUUUAUUUCUGUAUUUGACUGCAACAAGAAAGUUAACCAGGUGGCAGCCGAAAUCCUGUCAAUAAUUUUUGUAGAAUAUACAAACAAAACAGUUGAAAAUAUAAAAUUAGAUGAAGCAGAGCUAAAAAUAAAAAAUACUCCAAUAAUUUUUUAUAACAGUGACAUAUUAUAUAAAAAUAUAAAUAAUUUAAAAAUUAAUGUUUUGAGUUUGUUCAAAUGUUUAAAAUAUAUAAAACAAGAUUUAUUUGAAGAAAUUUCUUGUAAUUUAUUACUUACAGAUUGUAAUGAAGAAUUUGACAGUAGCAUUUAUUUAUUCAAUGUUUUAUGUUUUUUUCCUUCUUUCUUAUAUUUUAUAAUUAAAGUUUAUUAUUCUGUGAGAGAGGAAGAAAAAGUGGCCACAGGGAGUGCACAUGAACAAUAUGUAGAAAGUAACACUGUUGGGGAAAGUAGUAUUCCCAAUACGAGUGCCAUUAUCACUACCAGUGGAGAGAAUAACAUAAAACAAAAAAAAAAUAACAACAAAGUAAAUAGUAAAGUGAAUUGCAAAUCAAUCGAGAAAGACUUUGUAGUUUUUGAAGAUAUAUUUAAACAUUUUUUUAAAUCUUUAAAAGAUAUAUAUAGUGUUAAUAAAGAUAAUUUACAAAUAAAAAGAAUGUUAUAUUUUUCAGUGUUAAAUAUCAUUAAUUUAUUAAGAGUACAUAAAUUUGAAUAUAUAAAUAUAAUUGAAGAAAAAGAAAAAGAAUAUAUUUAUGUUUACAUUCAUUUGAUAAUAAGAAAUAAAGACGCAUAUAUAUUUAAAACUAUUAAUAAUUUAAUUUGUUUAUACAUUUUAAAUAAUAAUAAUAAUAAUAAAUGCUUGAAAGAGAAAUUAAUUAACCCUAUUUUUUUAACAAACUAUUUAUUAUUAGUAAAAGAUAAUCAACUGCUUGGCAAUAAUGACCAUUUUAAUAUAACUUUAUUUAUUAAUUUAUUUGAAGUAAAAGAUAAACAAAAGCAUUUAUUUUUUUUUUUUUUUUUAUUCUAUUUUAUAUUAACAGAUAAUAAAAAAAAAUCUAUAAAAUUAUAUUAUAAAAUAUUAUUAGACUUGUAUAAUGAUUUUUGUAUGUUAUUACUAAAUGAGAAUAAAAANNNNNNNNNNUUUUUUUAUCUUUCGAAUAUUUUGAUUUUAGCAAUAAUAGUAAUAACAUCAGUAAUGUUAAUCACAUAAGUAAUAUCCAUCUAAGUGAUAAUGGCAAUGGAAACAUUAACAAUAGUAACAGAAGUAAUGUCGGAAAUAUUGACAAUAUCAAUGGUAGAAACAACAAUAACGACAGUGCUAAGGUGUUGGAAGAUAUAAUUAAUUUUAUAAAACAAAAUGAAUUAUGCCUAAAUAAUUUAUUUGAUUAUUUUGAGACAAUUAAUAAGUUUAUAGAAGAAUAUAUUACAACUAAUAUCAUUGUUGAUAUUAAUAGCGGUGCUAAUAAUAUAAAACAUGCACAUUUAUUACAGUACAAAUACAAAUUAUAUAUUUUUAUUUUAUCUUUACAUUUAGCUUUUGUUUUAUUAAAAACAUACCCAACUGAAUGUGUUAAAAUAAUUAAUAAAAAUAAACUAAAUAAUAUAAAAGAAUAUAAU
This is a long non-coding RNA of Piliocolobus tephrosceles (Ugandan red Colobus), 1746 nucleotides long. Lineage: Eukaryota; Metazoa; Chordata; Mammalia; Primates; Cercopithecidae. The record is from Ensembl.